RNAcentral lists this ribosomal RNA (386 nucleotides) under uncultured bacterium. RNAcentral's name for it is "bacterial SSU rRNA". It matches the Rfam family "Bacterial small subunit ribosomal RNA", at positions 28 to 416 of the family's 1533-position model. The record is from RNAcentral.
GACGAACGCUGGCGGCGUGCUUAACACAUGCAAGUCGAGCGGUAAGGCCCUUUCGGGGGUACACGAGCGGCGAACGGGUGAGUAACACGUGGGUGACCUGCCCUCAGCUCUGGGAUAAGCCUGGGAAACCGGGUCUAAUACUGGAUAUGACUCCAUGACGCAUGUUGUGGGGUGGAAAGCCUUGUGCGGCUGAGGAUGGGCCCGCGGCCUAUCAGCUUGUUGGGGGGUGAUGGCCUACCAAGGCGACGACGGGUAGCCGGCCUGAGAGGGCGACCGGCCACACUGGGACUGAGACACGGCCCAGACUCCUACGGGAGGCAGCAGUGGGGAAUCUUGCGCAAUGGGCGAAAGCCUGACGCAGCGACGCCGCGUGAGGGAUGACGGCC